Molecule: ribosomal RNA, 492 nt
Filed under: uncultured bacterium
Lineage: Bacteria
Description: partial 16S ribosomal RNA
Rfam family: Bacterial small subunit ribosomal RNA
Source: RNAcentral
AGUGAACGCUGGCGGUAGGCCUAACACAUGCAAGUCGAACGGCAGCACAGUAAGAGCUUGCUCUUACGGGUGGCGAGUGGCGGACGGGUGAGGAAUACAUCGGAAUCUACUCUUUCGUGGGGGAUAACGUAGGGAAACUUACGCUAAUACCGCAUACGACCUACGGGUGAAAGCAGGGGAUCUUCGGACCUUGCGCGAUUGAAUGAGCCGAUGUCGGAUUAGCUAGUUGGCGGGGUAAAGGCCCACCAAGGCGACGAUCCGUAGCUGGUCUGAGAGGAUGAUCAGCCACACUGGAACUGAGACACGGUCCAGACUCCUACGGGAGGCAGCAGUGGGGAAUAUUGGACAAUGGGCGCAAGCCUGAUCCAGCCAUACCGCGUGGGUGAAGAAGGCCUUCGGGUUGUAAAGCCCUUUUGUUGGGAAAGAAAGGCAGCAGGUUAAUACCCCGCUGUUCUGACGGUACCCAAAGAAUAAGCACCGGCUAACUUCGUG